RNAcentral lists this ribosomal RNA (1129 nucleotides) under uncultured cyanobacterium. Its description in RNAcentral is "bacterial SSU rRNA". It matches the Rfam family "Bacterial small subunit ribosomal RNA", at positions 252 to 1398 of the family's 1533-position model. The record is from RNAcentral. Lineage: Bacteria; Bacillati; Cyanobacteriota.
GUGUGGUCAGAGCGCACUUAAGCGACGAUCAGUAGCUGGUCUGAGAGGAUGAUCAGCCACAUUGGGACUGAGACACGGCCCAGACUCUUACGGGAGGCAGCAGUGGGGAAUUUUCCGCAAUGGGCGAAAGCCUGACGGAGCAAUGCCGCGUGAGGGAGGAAGGCUCUUGGGUUGUAAACCUCUUUUCUCAGGGAAGAAUGAUGACGGUACCUGAGGAAUAAGCAUCGGCUAACUCCGUGCCAGCAGCCGCGGUAAUACGGAGGAUGCAAGCGUUAUCCGGAAUGAUUGGGCGUAAAGCGUCCGCAGGUGGCAAUGUAAGUCUGCUGUCAAAGCGUCUGGCUCAACCAGAUAAAGGCAGUGGAAACUACAUAGCUAGAGUAAGGUAGGGGUAGAGGGAAUUCCUGGUGUAGCGGUGAAAUGCGUAGAGAUCAGGAAGAACACCGGUGGCGAAAGCGCUCUGCUGGACCUUAACUGACACUGAGGGACGAAAGCUAGGGGAGCGAAUGGGAUUAGAUACCCCAGUAGUCCUAGCCGUAAACGAUGGAUACUAGGCGUUGCCCGUAUCGACCCGCGCAGUGUCGUAGUAAUUGCUUUAAGAUCACGCGUGGGGAGUACGCAGGCAACUUUGAAACUCAAAGGAAUUGACGGGGGCCCGCACAAAGCGGUGGAGUAUGUGGCUUAAUUCGAUGCAACGCGAAGAACCUUAUCAGGGCUUGACAUGUCCGGAAUCAUCUUGAAAGGGAGGAGUGCCUUCGGGAGCCGGAACACAGGAGGUGCAUGGCUGUCGUCAGCUCGUGUCGUGAGAUGUUGGGUUAAGUCCCGCAACGAGCGCAACCCUCGUUCUUAGUUGCCAUCAUUAAGUUGGGAACUCUAAGGAGACUGCCGGUGACAAACCGGAGGAAGGUGGGGAUGACGUCAAGUCAGCAUGCCCCUUACGCCCUGGGCUACACACGUACUACAAUGCUAUGGACAAAGGGCAGCAAGCCAGCGAUGGCAAGCAAAUCUCGUAAACCAUGGCUCAGUUCAGAUCGCAGGCUGCAACUCGCUUGCGUGAAGUCGGAAUCGCUAGUAAUUGCAGGUCAGCAUACUGCAGUGAAUUCGUUCCCGGGCCUUGCACUCACCGCCCGUC